CGAUAGAAGAGACACAGAAGUCCAGCUGAUGU
Molecule: non-coding RNA, 32 nt
Filed under: Homo sapiens (human)
Lineage: Eukaryota; Metazoa; Chordata; Mammalia; Primates; Hominidae
Source: RNAcentral